CUGAAUGACUGGGUAGUAAGAUGCCAUGGGAUAUUCACUGCAGCGUGUCCUGUACUGCAGAAUCAUGAGCAGAUAGUGAGACGGCCUGGAGCUGUACCAGCCCCACCUCACCCCCAAAGACCUGAUGGAUGGGGAAGAGCAGCCUCCUCUCCAGUACCACUGCCCAGGGAAGAAGCUUUCCUAGCCCCUCCUGGCUGAUGUGUACAGCAGGAGCAAGGAGGCAGCAACUCCUUCUUUGA
This 239-nucleotide long non-coding RNA is filed under the name Struthio camelus australis. Its description in RNAcentral is "lncRNA (ENSSCUG00000006428.1)". Lineage: Eukaryota; Metazoa; Chordata; Aves; Struthioniformes; Struthionidae. The record is from RNAcentral.